AGAGUUUGAUUCUGGCUCAGGAUGAACGCUGGCGGCGUGCUUAACACAUGCAAGUCGAACGGAGUUUUUAAACGGAAGUUUUCGGAUGGAAGUUUAGAAACUUAGUGGCGGACGGGUGAGUAACGCGUGGGUAACCUGCCUCAUACAGGGGGAUAACAGUUAGAAAUGACUGCUAACACCGCAUAAUAUAGCGAAACCGCAUGAUUUUUGCUAUCAAAUAUUUAUAGGUAUGAGAUGGGCCCGCGUCUGAUUAGCUAGUUGGUGGGGUAAAAGCCUACCAAGGCGACGAUCAGUAGCCGGCUUGAGAGAGUGACCGGCCACAUUGGGACUGAGACACGGCCCAAACUCCUACGGGAGGCAGCAGUGGGGAAUAUUGGACAAUGGGGGAAACCCUGAUCCAGCGAACCGCCGCGUGAGUGAAGAAGUAUUUCGGUAUGUAAAGCUCUAUCAGCAGGGAAGAUAAUGACAGUACCUGACUAAGAAGCCCCGGCUAACUACGUGCCAGCAGCGGC
RNAcentral lists this ribosomal RNA (512 nucleotides) under uncultured bacterium. RNAcentral describes it as "bacterial SSU rRNA". It matches the Rfam family "Bacterial small subunit ribosomal RNA", at positions 8 to 518 of the family's 1533-position model. The record is from RNAcentral.